GCUGGGCUCAGUAACGUGAGCCUGUAACCCAAGUGGGAGCAAUAAGAUGGUUGGAGAUGGGCCGAGUUCAUAUUUCUCUCUUCCUUAGCAGAGAGAUGGGCUUUCGGGCCUGUAAUGCGAAGUGAGCGCGAGUGUCGUACUCUGGACUUCCUCUCUCUGUGGGAUUGAAGCGGGCCAGCUACUGGUCCAAAAUGUGUUUGGAUCAAGUGGUGUAUGGGCUUGUCUGCAGGAGUACGAACGGAAACAGUAGAUGGGGUAUGACCCGGCCAUGUACCUGGACUAACAAAAAUGACUUUGUCAACAUUCGACAACCAUCUUU
RNAcentral lists this non-coding RNA (319 nucleotides) under Daucus carota subsp. sativus. Lineage: Eukaryota; Viridiplantae; Streptophyta; Magnoliopsida; Apiales; Apiaceae. The record is from RNAcentral.